RNAcentral lists this ribosomal RNA (253 nucleotides) under uncultured bacterium. Its description in RNAcentral is "partial 16S ribosomal RNA". It matches the Rfam family "Bacterial small subunit ribosomal RNA", at positions 524 to 776 of the family's 1533-position model. The record is from RNAcentral.
UACGGGGGGGGCAAGCGUUGUUCGGAAUUACUGGGCGUAAAGGGCUCGUAGGUGGCUAACUACGUCAGACGUGAAAUCCCUCAGCUUAACUGGGGAACUGCGUGUGAUACUGGAUGGCUUGGAUUUGGGAGAGGGAUGCGGAAUUCCAGGUGUAGCGGUGAAAUGCGUAGAUAUCUGGAGGAACACCGGUGGCGAAGGCGGCAUCCUGGACCGAUACUGACGCUGAGGAGCGAAAGCCAGGGGAGCAAACGGG